UCCGGUUUGUCACCGGCAGUCAUCUUAGAGUGCCCAACUAAAUGCUGGCAACUAAGAUCAAGGGUUGCGCUCGUUGCGGGACUUAACCCAACAUCUCACGACACGAGCUGACGACAACCAUGCACCACCUGUCACUCUGUCCCCCGAAGGGGAAGGUCCUAUCUCUAGGAUGGUCAGAGGAUGUCAAGACCUGGUAAGGUUCUUCGCGUUGCUUCGAAUUAAACCACAUGCUCCACCGCUUGUGCGGGCCCCCGUCAAUUCCUUUGAGUUUCAGUCUUGCGACCGUACUCCCCAGGCGGAGUGCUUAAUGCGUUAGCUACAGCACCGCGGGGGUCAACACCCACGACACCUAGUUCUCAUCGUUUACGGCGUGGACUAC
This 379-nucleotide unclassified non-coding RNA is filed under the name Bacillus sp. (in: firmicutes). RNAcentral's name for it is "Bacillus sp. (in: Bacteria) contains 16S-23S intergenic spacer region". The record is from RNAcentral. Lineage: Bacteria; Bacillati; Bacillota; Bacilli; Caryophanales; Bacillaceae.